CCUACGGGCGGCAGCAGUGAGGAAUAUUGGUCAAUGGCCGAGAGGCUGAACCAGCCAAGUCGCGUGAGGGAAGACGGCCCUACGGGUUGUAAACCUCUUUUGUCGGGGAGCAAAGCGAGUCACGUGUGACUCAUUGAGAGUACCCGAAGAAAAAGCAUCGGCUAACUCCGUGCCAGCAGCCGCGGUAAUACGGAGGAUGCGAGCGUUAUCCGGAUUUAUUGGGUUUAAAGGGUGCGCAGGCGGAGGUGCAAGUCAGCGGUCAAAUUGCGGGGCUCAACCCCGUACUGCCGUUGAAACUGGCAAACUGGAGUGUGUGAGAGGAUAGUGGAAUUCCAGGUGUAGGAGUGAAAUCCGUAGAUAUCUGGAGGAACAUCAGUGGCGAAGGCGACUAUCUGGCACAUAACUGACGCUGAGGAGCGAAAGCGUGGGUAGCAAACAGGAUUAGAUACCCUUGUAGUC
This 459-nucleotide ribosomal RNA is filed under the name uncultured bacterium. RNAcentral describes it as "partial 16S ribosomal RNA". It matches the Rfam family "Bacterial small subunit ribosomal RNA", at positions 338 to 795 of the family's 1533-position model. The record is from RNAcentral.